This 72-nucleotide transfer RNA is filed under the name Actinomycetota bacterium. RNAcentral describes it as "tRNA-Ala". The record is from RNAcentral. Lineage: Bacteria; Bacillati; Actinomycetota.
GCCACUCGUUCGGCCAUUGAGCAGCUCACUCGCAAUGAGAUUAGGUCAGCGGUUCGAGUCCGCUCGUCGGCU